RNAcentral lists this ribosomal RNA (472 nucleotides) under uncultured bacterium. RNAcentral's name for it is "partial 16S ribosomal RNA". It matches the Rfam family "Bacterial small subunit ribosomal RNA", at positions 28 to 507 of the family's 1533-position model. The record is from RNAcentral.
GACGAACGCUGGCGGCGUGCUUAACACAUGCAAGUCGAACGCUGAAGCUUGGUGCUUGCACUGGGUGGAUGAGUGGCGAACGGGUGAGUAAUACGUGAGUAACCUGCCCUUGACUCUGGGAUAAGCCUGGGAAACUGGGUCCAAUACUGGAUACGACAUGUCACCGCAUGGUGGUGUGUGGAAAGGGUUUUACUGGUUUUGGAUGGGCUCACGGCCUAUCAGCUUGUUGGUGGGGUAAUGGCUCACCAAGGCGACGACGGGUAGCCGGCCUGAGAGGGUGACCGGCCACACUGGGACUGAGACACGGCCCAGACUCCUACGGGAGGCAGCAGUGGGGAAUAUUGCACAAUGGGCGGAAGCCUGAUGCAGCGACGCCGCGUGAGGGAUGACGGCCUUCGGGUUGUAAACCUCUUUCAGCACGGAAGAAGCGAAAGUGACGGUACGUGCAGAAGAAGCGCCGGCUAACUACGUG